Non-coding RNA from Mucilaginibacter sp. PAMC 26640, 36 nucleotides. Lineage: Bacteria; Pseudomonadati; Bacteroidota; Sphingobacteriia; Sphingobacteriales; Sphingobacteriaceae. The record is from Rfam.
ACGGAGCAAGCCGAAAAUCCGAUCAAAGAGUAGGCG